GAUGAACGCUGGCGGCGUGCCUAAUACAUGCAAGUCGAGCGAACGGACGAGACGCUUGCUUCUCUGAUGUUAGCGGCGGACGGGUGAGUAACACGUGGAUAACCUACCUAUAAGACUGGGAUAACUUCGGGAAACCGGAUCUAAUACCGGAUGAUAUUUUGAACCGCAUGGUUCAAAAGUGAAAGACGGUCUUGCUGUCCCUUAUAGAUGGAUCCGCGCUGCAUUAGCUAGUUGGUAAGGUAACGGCUUACCAAGGCAACGAUGCAUAGCCGACCUGAGAGGGUGAUCGGCCACACUGGAACUGAGACACGGUCCAGACUCCUACGGGAGGCAGCAGUAGGGAAUCUUCCGCAAUGGGCGAAAGCCUGACGGAGCAACGCCGCGUGAGUGAUGAAGGUCUUCGGAUCGUAAAACUCUGUUAGUAGGGAAGAACAUAUGUGUAAGUAACUGUGCACAUCUUGACGGUACCUAAUCAGAAAGCCACGGCUAACUACGUG
RNAcentral lists this ribosomal RNA (497 nucleotides) under uncultured bacterium. RNAcentral's name for it is "partial 16S ribosomal RNA". It matches the Rfam family "Bacterial small subunit ribosomal RNA", at positions 28 to 507 of the family's 1533-position model. The record is from RNAcentral.